RNAcentral lists this ribosomal RNA (253 nucleotides) under uncultured bacterium. RNAcentral's name for it is "partial 16S ribosomal RNA". It matches the Rfam family "Bacterial small subunit ribosomal RNA", at positions 524 to 776 of the family's 1533-position model. The record is from RNAcentral.
UACGUAGGUGGCAAGCGUUAUCCGGAUUUACUGGGUGUAAAGGGCGUGUAGGCGGGGCUGCAAGUCAGAUGUGAAAACCACGGGCUCAACCUGUGGCCUGCAUUUGAAACUGUAGUUCUUGAGUACUGGAGAGGCAGACGGAAUUCCUAGUGUAGCGGUGAAAUGCGUAGAUAUUAGGAGGAACACCAGUGGCGAAGGCGGUCUGCUGGACACCAACUGACGCUGAGGCGCGAAAGCGUGGGGAGCAAACAGG